This is a long non-coding RNA of Mustela erminea (ermine), 266 nucleotides long. RefSeq lists it as uncharacterized. The transcript has 3 exons. The record is from RefSeq and is a predicted model, not a curated record. NCBI's taxonomy places the organism in Eukaryota, Metazoa, Chordata, Mammalia, Carnivora, Mustelidae.
GUGUUUCGGUAGAUGUGUAGGUUUGCCAUAAGCUGCUUUCGUCACACACAGGAUUUUUCCUACGAAAAUUUCCAAGGACAACAAUGGAGCAACCUACCUGUUUAUUUUCUCAAAAAUAACGAACAGGGCCUUGUCUGCCAGGAUGAAGGAGAAAAUAAAUGAAAUUCCAGCCUUUCGAUGAAAUGUCAUGCUAAAAUGGAUGGUCCAAAAAUCUAUAUUUAGAUGAGUGACUCCUGUUUGAAGAAGACAUGAUAAAUGUUUCAUGC